RNAcentral lists this ribosomal RNA (279 nucleotides) under uncultured bacterium. RNAcentral's name for it is "partial 16S ribosomal RNA". It matches the Rfam family "Bacterial small subunit ribosomal RNA", at positions 506 to 784 of the family's 1533-position model. The record is from RNAcentral.
UGCCAGCCGCCGCGGUAAUACGGAGGGUGCGAGCGUUAAUCGGAAUUACUGGGCGUAAAGCGCACGCAGGCGGUUUGUUAAGCUAGAUGUGAAAGCCCCGGGCUCAACCUGGGAUGGUCAUUUAGAACUGGCAGACUAGAGUCUUGGAGAGGGGAGUGGAAUUCCAGGUGUAGCGGUGAAAUGCGUAGAGAUUGGAAGGAACACCGAUGGCGAAGGCACUUUACUGGGCUAUUACUAACACUCAGAGACGAAAGCUAGGGUAGCAAAUGGGAUUAGAUA